GACGAACGCUAGCUACAUGCCUAACACAUGCAAGUCGAGGGACCGGCGCACGGGUUAGUAACACGUACCCAACCUGCCCUUUACUCUGGGAUAGCCUUCCGACUGAAAGAUUAAUACUCGAUAUUUAGGAUGGGGAUGCGUUCCAUUAGGUUGUUGGUGAGGUAACAGCCCACCAAGCAUUCGCUGGCGAGGGGUUCUGAGAGGAAGGACCCCGACAAUGGAACUAAGGCACGGACCAAAAUCGUAGGCGAGGGAGGAGUGUGGAAGAUAGGGGAAUAAGCGUUAGCCUAGAACAGCGAAGGAGGGUGAAGGGGGAAGGCGUAGGAGUCGUCAAUUUCUAGUAUAGAAGAAUAUGUAUUUAAUGAGAAAGGAACGGCUAACUACGUGCCAGCAGCCGCGGUAAUAC
This 406-nucleotide ribosomal RNA is filed under the name uncultured bacterium. RNAcentral's name for it is "partial 16S ribosomal RNA". It matches the Rfam family "Bacterial small subunit ribosomal RNA", at positions 28 to 526 of the family's 1533-position model. The record is from RNAcentral.